RNAcentral lists this ribosomal RNA (867 nucleotides) under Alteromonas sp. Its description in RNAcentral is "bacterial SSU rRNA". It matches the Rfam family "Bacterial small subunit ribosomal RNA", at positions 34 to 897 of the family's 1533-position model. The record is from RNAcentral. Lineage: Bacteria; Pseudomonadati; Pseudomonadota; Gammaproteobacteria; Alteromonadales; Alteromonadaceae.
CGCUGGCGGCAGGCCUAACACAUGCAAGUCGAACGGUAACAGGAAGUGCUUGCACUUCGCUGACGAGUGGCGGACGGGUGAGUAAUGCUUGGGAACUUGCCUUUGCGAGGGGGAUAACAGUUGGAAACGACUGCUAAUACCGCAUAAUGUCUUCGGACCAAACGGGGCUUAGGCUCCGGCGCAAAGAGAGGCCCAAGUGAGAUUAGCUAGUUGGUAAGGUAAUGGCUUACCAAGGCGACGAUCUCUAGCUGUUCUGAGAGGAAGAUCAGCCACACUGGGACUGAGACACGGCCCAGACUCCUACGGGAGGCAGCAGUGGGGAAUAUUGCACAAUGGGGGAAACCCUGAUGCAGCCAUGCCGCGUGUGUGAAGAAGGCCUUCGGGUUGUAAAGCACUUUCAGUUGUGAGGAAAAGUUAGUAGUUAAUACCUGCUAGCCGUGACGUUAACAACAGAAGAAGCACCGGCUAACUCCGUGCCAGCAGCCGCGGUAAUACGGAGGGUGCGAGCGUUAAUCGGAAUUACUGGGCGUAAAGCGCACGCAGGCGGUUUGUUAAGCUAGAUGUGAAAGCCCCGGGCUCAACCUGGGAUGGUCAUUUAGAACUGGCAGACUAGAGUCUUGGAGAGGGGAGUGGAAUUCCAGGUGUAGCGGUGAAAUGCGUAGAUAUCUGGAGGAACAUCAGUGGCGAAGGCGACUCCCUGGCCAAAGACUGACGCUCAUGUGCGAAAGUGUGGGUAGCGAACAGGAUUAGAUACCCUGGUAGUCCACACCGUAAACGCUGUCUACUAGCUGUGUGUGUCUUUAAGACGUGCGUAGCGAAGCUAACGCGCUAAGUAGACCGCCUGGGGGAGUACGGCCGCAAGGUUAA